RNAcentral lists this small RNA (903 nucleotides) under Arabidopsis thaliana (thale cress). RNAcentral's name for it is "ATSL203960". The record is from RNAcentral. Lineage: Eukaryota; Viridiplantae; Streptophyta; Magnoliopsida; Brassicales; Brassicaceae.
ACUUAAUUUCAUGAGAGAUGUAUUGUGAUGGAGUACAAAUUAGGUGUUAUUACCAGAACAUAACUUUUUUUAAUUACAGUCAUAUUUUUAAUACUCAGUGUGCCUCUACUAAACGUAAUUAUAGGGAAUGCCACUGUCACGUCAGAAAUUGAUGACGUAGAUUAAAUGAACUCAGCCGUAACGCGAUACAACGGGAGUAAUGACUGAGUUACAGUAUGUUGCGGCUGACUUAUAACAAAAACAUAUGAACUAUAACAAAACGGCGAAGUAUGAGUAUAACUCAGUCAGACGUUACGUCUGAUAUAUCAAAUGUUACCUCAGUUAUACUAUAACUCAAGCAACGGUAUGGCUGAGUUAAGGAAUGUUGUCCGAGUUAUAAGAAGUUAUACGAUAACCCAGACAAUGUUAUGGCUAAGUUAUGAGAAAACGGCUGACUUAUUUCCUCGACACGGCCGAGUUAUAUUUUUGGACGGCUUAGUUAUAGGAUGAUGUGACGGCUGAGUUAUGGUCGAGUGUUAUAAAUCAGCCGUAAAGAGCUGGAUUACGGUAUAACUCAGCCUUGUUACGGCUUAUUUAUGUGCAAAAGAUUAAUUAUUAUAAUAGCAUGCAGUUACGGCUGAGUUUUUAAACGUUACUGCUGAGUUAGUUGAGUUACGACAUAACACGGCUGACUUAACUUAGUUUUUUUCCUGUUUUUUUCCUACGAGUGACUUAUAGAUUUGCUUGAUGGCUCAGUUAUGAACUAUUCGUUUGGUGGCUUACUUGUCACCUCAUCACUUCAAAACGACGUCGGCUGUAAUAUUCCAUGUCAGCAUCGUCAACGGAAAUACGAAACGUCCCUUGCUUCUUUAACUCGGCCGUCUCCCUUAUGUUGCUCCUGAUGAAAGAGAUGAUGGCUUCGAA